GACGAACGCUGGCGGCGUGCUUAACACAUGCAAGUCGAACGGAAAGGCCCUGCUUUUGUGGGGUGCUCGAGUGGCGAACGGGUGAGUAACACGUGAGUAACCUGCCCUUGACUUUGGGAUAACUUCAGGAAACUGGGGCUAAUACCGGAUAGGAGCUCCUGCUGCAUGGUGGGGGUUGGAAAGUUUCGGCGGUUGGGGAUGGACUCGCGGCUUAUCAGCUUGUUGGUGGGGUAGUGGCUUACCAAGGCUUUGACGGGUAGCCGGCCUGAGAGGGUGACCGGCCACAUUGGGACUGAGAUACGGCCCAGACUCCUACGGGAGGCAACAGUGGGGAAUAUUGCACAGUGGGCGGAAGCCUGGUGCAGCAACGCCGCGUGCGGGAUGACGGCCUUCGGGUUGUAAACCGCUUUCGCCUGUGACGAAGCGUGAGUGACGGUAAUGGGUAAAGAAGCACCGGCUAACUACGUG
This 468-nucleotide ribosomal RNA is filed under the name uncultured bacterium. RNAcentral describes it as "partial 16S ribosomal RNA". It matches the Rfam family "Bacterial small subunit ribosomal RNA", at positions 28 to 507 of the family's 1533-position model. The record is from RNAcentral.